UGGGGAAUCUUGCACAAUGGAGGCAACUCUGAUGCAGCGACGCCGCGUGAGCGAUGAAGCCCUUCGGGGUGUAAAGCUCUUUCGGCAGGGACGAUAAUGACGGUACCUGAAGAAGAAGCUGCGGCUAACUACGUGCCAGCAGCCGCGGUAAUACGUAGGCAGCGAGCGUUGUUCGGAAUUACUGGGCGUAAAGAGUGUGUAGGCGGUGCUCUAAGUUCGGUGUGAAAUCUCCUGGCUCAACUGGGAGGGUGCGCCGGAAACUGGAGUGCUUGAGCGUGGGAGAGGAAAGCGGAAUUCCUGGUGUAGCGGUGAAAUGCGUAGAUAUCAGGAGGAACACCUGUGGUGUAGACGGCUUUCUGGACCAUAGCUGACGCUGAGACGCGAAAGCGUGGGUAGCAAACAGGAUUAGAUACCCUGGUAGUCCACGCCCUAAACGAUGCAUACUUGGUGUCGGCCAUUCAGUUGGUCGGUGCCGGAGCUAACGCGUUAAGUAUGCCGCCUGGGGAGUACGGUCGCAAGGCUGC
RNAcentral lists this ribosomal RNA (524 nucleotides) under uncultured Acidobacteriota bacterium. RNAcentral describes it as "bacterial SSU rRNA". It matches the Rfam family "Bacterial small subunit ribosomal RNA", at positions 355 to 897 of the family's 1533-position model. The record is from RNAcentral. Lineage: Bacteria; Pseudomonadati; Acidobacteriota.